RNAcentral lists this long non-coding RNA (320 nucleotides) under Phoenix dactylifera (date palm). Its description in RNAcentral is "long non-coding RNA (PDAC_LNC021999)". Lineage: Eukaryota; Viridiplantae; Streptophyta; Magnoliopsida; Arecales; Arecaceae. The record is from RNAcentral.
GAAAAGAAGAAGGCUGCGAAGGGCUUUGAUCUUCUUCCUCUUCUUCAUCCUUCUUCUUCCUCCUCUCAAGUGCAAUCAAGAGUUGAUUGAAAGAGAGGAGAUCAGCCAUCAAAAGAAGUCUUUGCAAGGGAGCUAGCACCCCGGGAAGACAAGAAAGAUUUGAUCGGUCCUCUACUUCGUGUGGAUACCCGUAGAGGCCGGACGUUUGAACGGCUUCAAGCGAACCCUCUUCUAAAAUCACGAAUUCAGAUUUGCGGUGAUCAUCUACCCGCGCAAGGUGAAGAUUUGAUCUUCCUAAUAGUUUUAAAAGUUCUAAUUCU